CACUUACCGAGCCCUUUCCGUGAGUCUGCAUCGGUGCAGACUUAACCUAAGGGAAUUACCCACAGUUCAAAGUGUUGUGACGUUUACCGCGGAGAUCAUAGAAAAAACCGGAAAUUAAGGUAAACAACAGCACGCACGACACACGUGCAUGGUGCAAAUGUUAGCAACGUCUUUGUUAGUAAACAUCGCCAAGGUACAUGUGAUCUCGUGAAGUGCUGUCCCAAUCCCAAAAUACAUAUCUGAGCCCAUGAAGCCUCACACACUCACUCACUUAGCACCUGAGAUCAAUUAAGUCUGUGAGUCUUUAGUUCUUAGUCUUUAGGGCUGACAUUGGGAUUGGGCCAGUCAGUUGAAGCCGUUGAAGAACAGCGUGAAGAUGGAACCUGCUACUGAGCACAUCAACUCUUAAGUGUGUCCCUGGAAGAUCUACCAUCAACUUCCAGAACUGCAACUGCUAGUACUGUCAGAUGGUGAAUGCUACUCAGGCAAACACCAUUGUUACACCACUUUGAAGGAGAGCCUGGUCAUUUGGUCCCCUCAGCUUCUCCCUUUCUCAGUGAUAUGUUCAUUGUGGCUGGGAUAAUUGUGGGGCACUCUUUCCUUCAUGGAGGACCCUGCUUGUCUGGACUCUGUGAUGUGGUUGUCCAUACUGCUUCGUGGGAGCCCAGACACGGCUACAGUAAACCUGGAGGACUGUGCAGACCUGGACAUUAGAGAAACAAUCAGGCUUCUGGAGGUGGAAUCAAAUCAGCUGAAGAAAUGGGAAGGGUACAGAACGUGGCCUCUUCCUGGGACCUCCCUCCGCUAACCACAACCAACAGGGCCCUUAAUGCUCUGCGGUGAAAAAAGGAGCAACAAGGCUGACCGUGACAUCGGGAGAGCUGAGGCAGAUC
Molecule: long non-coding RNA, 893 nt
Organism: Sardina pilchardus (European sardine)
Lineage: Eukaryota; Metazoa; Chordata; Actinopteri; Clupeiformes; Clupeidae
Exons: 5
Source: RefSeq, a predicted model, not a curated record